This 253-nucleotide ribosomal RNA is filed under the name uncultured bacterium. RNAcentral's name for it is "partial 16S ribosomal RNA". It matches the Rfam family "Bacterial small subunit ribosomal RNA", at positions 524 to 776 of the family's 1533-position model. The record is from RNAcentral.
UACGGGGGGAGCAAGCGUUGUUCGGAUUUACUGGGCGUAAAGGGCGCGUAGGCGGCGCAACAAGUCACUUGUGAAAUCUCCGGGCUUAACCCGGAGCGGUCAAGUGAUACUGUCGUGCUAGAGUGCGGAAGGGGCUACUGGAAUUCUCGGUGUAGCGGUGAAAUGCGUAGAUAUCGAGAGGAACACCUGCGGCGAAGGCGGGUAGCUGGGCCGACACUGACGCUGAUGCGCGAAAGCCAGGGGAGCAAACGGG